GAGGCAUAGCUCAGCUGGUUAGAGUGCUUGCUUGACAUGCAAGAGGUCAUUGGUUCGAUUCCAAUUGUCUCC
This 72-nucleotide transfer RNA is filed under the name human gut metagenome. It matches the Rfam family "tRNA". Rfam says of the family: Transfer RNA (tRNA) molecules are approximately 80 nucleotides in length. Their secondary structure includes four short double-helical elements and three loops (D, anti-codon, and T loops). Further hydrogen bonds mediate the characteristic L-shaped molecular structure. tRNAs have two regions of fundamental functional importance: the anti-codon, which is responsible for specific mRNA codon recognition, and the 3' end, to which the tRNAs corresponding amino acid is attached (by aminoacyl-tRNA synthetases). tRNAs cope with the degeneracy of the genetic code in two manners: having more than one tRNA (with a specific anti-codon) for a particular amino acid; and 'wobble' base-pairing, i.e. permitting non-standard base-pairing at the 3rd anti-codon position. The record is from RNAcentral.